UUAUCUGGUCUCUUGUUUCAGUGCCUCUAGGGGAUCCACGUUCAGAAGCUGACUCUGCAGGCGAGACCAACGUUAUUUUCCCGGUGGCUGUGUUCAAAACCACCCAAAGGGUUUGAGAAAUACUUUAAGAGGAGUGGAAGGAACAAACUCAGAAACAUCAACAGCACCAAAAAAAGAGACUGGUGAACUAGAGAAUGCCGAGUCUGGAGGAGAUGGAGGCAGGAGAGGAGGGAAGCGGGAUGACGUUGCCUGGUGGAGGCGGAUGCAGAAGGGGACUUCUGCAAUCUGGCCCUUUUGGGGGCAGGCGUUGCCAUGGGAUUUUUCUACCUCUAUUUUCGAGAUCCUGGAAGAGAAAUCACUUGGAAGCACUUUGUAUAGUAUUACCUGGCCAGAGGUCUGGUGGACCAGCUGGAAAUCCUGAACAAUUUGUGCGUGUUAUUCCUGCCCCUGGGAUCUCUUCUGAAACGUAGCUGGGUGCGAAGAAGCCAAAUUGGAAAUUACGGAAUUUGUGAAUUUCCUGAAGAAUCUCAAGCAGUAUCAGGACUUAGGAGCAAAAAUUCCAAAGGGAGCCAUGCUCAUUGGUCCUCCUGGUACCGGCAAGACCCUUCUUGCCAAAGCAACUGCAGGGGAGGCCACUGUGCCCUUCAUCACUGUGAACGGGUCUGAGUUCCUGGAAAUGUUUGUUGGCGUUGGGCCAGCAAGGGGUGCAACUCUGCCACCAACGUCGUGACGUUGGCUGGCACCAAAUGCCCUGGCAUCCUGGACCCGGCCCUGAUGCGGCCUGGCCGGUUUGAUCGCCAGAUUUACAUUGGUCCCCCUGACAUCAAAGGCAGGGUCCUCCAUCUUUAAGGUCCACCUACGCCCACUGAAGCUGGACGAGAGCCUCAAUAAGGAUGUCCUGGCGAGGAAGCUGGCAGCGCUCACCCCAGGCUUCACUGGUGUCCAUCAUCCCCCGGGGCAAGGGGCUCGGCUACGCACAGUACCUGCCCCGGGAGCAGCAGCUCUACACCCAGCAGCAGCUCUUCGACCGCAUGUGCAUGAUGCUUGGGGGCCGGGUGGCUGAGCAGCUAUGCUUCGGGCAGAUCACUACGGGGGCUCAGGAUGACCUGAGGAAGGUCACCCAGAGCGCCUACGCCCAGGUAAGGGUGGGCAUCCCCCCGCACGGGCUGCAGGAGGCUAUGUUGGGCGCAGGCUCAUCCCGGGUUCCGCACUUGCAGAUUGUGCAGUUUGGGAUGAGUGAGAAGCUGGGCCAGGUGUCCUUCGACUUUCCCCGACAAGGCAAGGCCCUGGUGGAGAAGCCGUACAGCGAGGCAACCGCCCAGCUCAUUGAUGAGGAGGUCCGGCACCUCGUCAGUGCCGCCUACAAGCACACCCUGGACCUGCUGACACAGUGCCGGGAGCAUGUGGAGAAGGUGGGCCAGCGGCUCCUGGAGAAGGAAGUGCUGGAGAAGGCAGACAUGGAGCUGCUGGGCCCCCGGCCAUUCGCGGAGGAGUCUACCUAUGAGGAGUUUGUG
RNAcentral lists this small RNA (1514 nucleotides) under Pongo abelii (Sumatran orangutan). Its description in RNAcentral is "processed transcript". The record is from RNAcentral. Lineage: Eukaryota; Metazoa; Chordata; Mammalia; Primates; Hominidae.